UUAUUAAAAACAGUGUUGAUUAACCAAUAUUUCUUUUACUAAGUGAUCAUUUUAUGACUAAGCAGAACUAAGCAAUUUGCAAGAUUCAGUUAUUAUAACCUAUAGCGAUGCAUAGUAACAACUUCAUUUCAAAAGUAGGUGACAAACAUGCUUAGUGGCUUGUCUUGGUUUUCUUCGAGCCCAAACUCAACUUUUAUGCCAGCCUCGGCUCAAGGGUUCAAGG
RNAcentral lists this long non-coding RNA (223 nucleotides) under Setaria italica (foxtail millet). RNAcentral describes it as "long non-coding RNA (SITA_LNC006892)". Lineage: Eukaryota; Viridiplantae; Streptophyta; Magnoliopsida; Poales; Poaceae. The record is from RNAcentral.